This 585-nucleotide ribosomal RNA is filed under the name uncultured fungus. RNAcentral describes it as "eukaryotic LSU rRNA". It matches the Rfam family "Eukaryotic large subunit ribosomal RNA", at positions 69 to 651 of the family's 3401-position model. Lineage: Eukaryota; Fungi. The record is from RNAcentral.
ACAGGAUUCCCCUAGUAACGGCGAGUGAAGCGGGAAAAGCUCAAAUUUGUAAUCUGGCACUUUCAGUGUCCGAGUUGUAAUCUCGAGAAGUGUUUUCCGCGCCGGACCGCAUACAAGUCUGUUGGAAUACAGCGUCAUAGUGGUGAGAACCCCGUAACUGAUGCGGAUGCCCGGUGCUUUGUGAUACACUUUCGAAGAGUCGAGUUGUUUGGGAAUGCAGCUCAAAUUGGGUGGUAAAUUCCAUCUAAAGCUAAAUAUUGGCGAGAGACCGAUAGCGAACAAGUACCGUGAGGGAAAGAUGAAAAGCACUUUGGAAAGAGAGUUAACAGUACGUGAAAUUGUUGGAAGGGAAACGCUUGAAGUCAGACUUGCUAUUUGGAAUUCAGCCGCAAGGUGUACUUUUCAAUUCGCAGGCCAGCAUCAGUUUUUGGGGGUGGAAAAGGGUAUUGAGAAGGUAGCAGCCUCGGCUGUGUUAUAGCUCUUUACUGGAUUCAUCUUUGGGGACUGAGGAACGCAGCACGCUUUUUGCAAGGCUUUCGAGCUUUUCGUGCUUAGGGUGCUGGUGGAAUGGCUUUAAACGACCCG